RNAcentral lists this small nuclear RNA (107 nucleotides) under Cervus elaphus hippelaphus. Lineage: Eukaryota; Metazoa; Chordata; Mammalia; Artiodactyla; Cervidae. The record is from RNAcentral.
GUGUGUGCCUCGGCAGCACAUAUACUAAAAUUAAAAUGAUACAGAGAAGAUUAGCAUGGCCCCUGUGCAAGGAUGAUAUGCAAAUUCGUGAAGCAUUCCAUAUUUUU